AACCCAACAUCCUAAAAACGAGGUUACACGAUUACCAUUUGAAUAGUAGCAUUUUGGAGAAAGCACUAAUAUGCACUUAAAUUAUGCACAGAUGCAUGUCAGGUUGUUCGCUUGGUCUGCGCCAACGAGCAUCUCCUACAAGUCAUCAUCUCUCUCUUUGUCGGCUCCAUGUUGUAGCCUGCUAGGAGUCCUACCUUGCCAUGGAGCAUGUCCUUUGUCAUGGGUCAUACUGAGGUGAGUGCUGGUGUGGGAUUUGAUGUGUUAGUAGAUUGGGACGUCGGCUUCUUGGUGUGGUUUGAUGAGAUGGUGGUGAUAUGGUCUGGAAGGGGGCAUGUGUGAGGCGAGAGAGAAUAACGGGCAGAGUCAUUCAUAUAUAAUACUAAAAUCCUACCCUUCAUAAAUUAGAUUUUUCGACGAUAAGUAAGUACCUAAGUCUAUGUUAUGUUUAAGUUAAAAGUAAAAUGUCUAUGUGGGCCAUACAUACACCGAUUAAUAAAGCAGUUAGUACUUAAAUUGACCGUCAAGUCCUAUGUGCCUUAGGGGUAAGUUUUAAUCUCCACCAUUGACUCACUUAAGGUGGGUAUACUGAAGCAGACCCCUUAUGAUUAUGAACGGUUUAUAAAGUUGAAGGAUGAAACUUGAACGAACACAAUUCUGAGGUUUGUAAAGUGAAGCCAAAGACAAGUUCGAGGGGUAAUAUGGACUUCUCUCAAACUAUAUUAUCAGAGGACAAUGAGGGUCUUGAAGACAAUGAAAGCGAUGAGUUUCUGCUGGUUCUGUUUUGUUGUAGGCGAAGUUCUUAAUUAUAAUUAUCAAUGUGUUUGUUUUUCUUAAGGACGCAGUGACAUGCAAGGCGAGGGAAAUUGAAGCCAAAACAUGCAGGACGGCCAGGAGUGUGCCAUUUUUUCUAUGACAGGUUAGUGAUUUUAUCCUUUUUGUAUUUUUUACAUUGCUAGGUACAGUAGUUUAUAUGAAAUGAUUUGUUAAUGGCAGGGGGUGGUUCUUCAAUCUUCAGGGAAUCAAGCGGUAGCAUCAGAUGCUGACAUGCAUGGAAGGUAGCAGUAUAUGUAUUUGUAGCAAAUCAUCAUCGCCCAUAAAUAAAUCAUCUCUUGCCCGCUUCCUCUGUCCGGUUGUCAACUCAAAUUGCUUUGGUUCACAAAUUCGUUUCAUCGUACAUCUAGGUACACUAGAACUGAGAGACUACUUUCCUUGAAAGGCUUAUGCGAGUAAACUGACAAUAGUAUUCAUCCAAGAUGCAGUUGUAUAUGUAUCUUCAUAGAGAUGUAGAUGCAUAGAUAGUUAAAUAGUGCACAUGUUCAUUGACAGGGAUGUAGAUGUAGUAUACAACCGAGGUUACAUUGACAAGUUGGUCCAUGAUGCUCCCAGGAAAAAGAAAAUAUGAUAUAUUGUUUCACACUAUCAUCCAUAGUGAAACUUGUAUUUAAUAUUUCUUUGUUUUGCAAUGCUGAAUAUUUUGGGAACACACAGUAAGAUGUAAUCUACGGAUUCACCAAAUCAGCUUGAACAUUGUUAUCAUGCUUCGUAUGAUUUGGUAAUGAUUUCAGAACAUGGAAUGGGGCAAAUAAAGUUGAAACCAUGUACUGUUCCUCACAAAAAAACAGUUACUGUCGAGAGGUUUCAUACUGACAUUAUUUCUUACCAACUAAUGGUGCAUUACUCCUGCCAUGAUAACAGCAGCUAACUACUCCAUGAUUACAGCAGUAAACAUUGAUAAGAGUACAAGCAUUGGAGGAGUACUCACCACAUUCGAGGAAGUCGUCAUCAUGGUGGUGGUGGUCGAGGAAGUCGUAGGUGCUGGUGGCAUCAUCACGGAGCAGGCACCAUCUUCUCCUCGACUUAAAAUGUGGUACUCCAUGUACUCCCACUUGUUAACUUUCUGAAAUGCAGAUCCACUCCAAGAAUGUGCUCUGAAAUG
Molecule: long non-coding RNA, 1936 nt
Filed under: Triticum aestivum (bread wheat)
Lineage: Eukaryota; Viridiplantae; Streptophyta; Magnoliopsida; Poales; Poaceae
Description: long non-coding RNA (TAES_LNC018266)
Source: RNAcentral